Molecule: transfer RNA, 85 nt
Filed under: Actinomycetales bacterium
Lineage: Bacteria; Bacillati; Actinomycetota; Actinomycetes; Actinomycetales
Description: tRNA-Ser
Rfam family: tRNA
About the family: Transfer RNA (tRNA) molecules are approximately 80 nucleotides in length. Their secondary structure includes four short double-helical elements and three loops (D, anti-codon, and T loops). Further hydrogen bonds mediate the characteristic L-shaped molecular structure. tRNAs have two regions of fundamental functional importance: the anti-codon, which is responsible for specific mRNA codon recognition, and the 3' end, to which the tRNAs corresponding amino acid is attached (by aminoacyl-tRNA synthetases). tRNAs cope with the degeneracy of the genetic code in two manners: having more than one tRNA (with a specific anti-codon) for a particular amino acid; and 'wobble' base-pairing, i.e. permitting non-standard base-pairing at the 3rd anti-codon position.
Source: RNAcentral
GGCGAGAUGGCAGAGCGGCCGAAUGCGGGCGCCUUGAAAGCGUCUGAGGUGAAAGCCUCCGGGGGUUCAAAUCCCUCUCUCGCCG